This 420-nucleotide ribosomal RNA is filed under the name Machilus gamblei. Its description in RNAcentral is "eukaryotic LSU rRNA". The stretch from base 31 to 186 matches the Rfam family "5.8S ribosomal RNA". The record is from RNAcentral. Lineage: Eukaryota; Viridiplantae; Streptophyta; Magnoliopsida; Laurales; Lauraceae.
AUCCGCCGCCCGCCUGUGAAUCAUUUAGACGACUCUCGGCAACGGAUAUCUCGGCUCUCGCAUCGAUGAAGAACGUAGCGAAAUGCGAUACUUGGUGUGAAUUGCAGAAUCCCGUGAACCAUCGAGUCUUUGAACGCAAGUUGCGCCCGAGGCCACUCGGCCGAGGGCACGCCUGCCUGGGCGUCACGCCACCCAUCGCCACCCCCCCGCGGCAUUCCCAUGCCGCGCCGGGGAGCGGAGACUGGCCGUCCGUGCCCGAGCCCUCGGCGCGCGGUCGGCAGAAAAGGAGGACACCGUGCGGCGAGACACGGCGUGUGGGGGUUGAGAGGCGACUCGUCGCCGAUCGUACGUCGCGCCCGCAUUCCGCCGCGCGCAGUGUCACCCGUGGGACCGGACUCGCCCGCAGCCGCGGGCGCUCGG